GGCCGCCCGACUCGUAAGACGCCGCCCGACUCGUAAGACGCCGCCGCCCGAGACGCCGCCGCCGACUCCUCCACAAGACGCCGCCGCUGCCCGACGCCUCGACGCUGGCGAUCUCGUCCGGCAUACUGGACUUCUCCCCUGCGGGACCUAAUCUCGCGGAAGACGGGCGACCAUGCUUUGCUGCCACAAGUCUCCUCCACUUUGUGCAGCCCGCAAACAUGUCUUGGAGCAUUCGCCGAUCAAACGUGUGUUUAUGUUGUGAUGAGCCGUUAACUUUUGUUGACCGAAUAUCUUGUAUUUUUCAUUUGAACCGUGGUAUGUGGCAUGUGUAUGUUUUUCAUUUGGACCGUGGAAUGUAUGCAUGUACCAUUUUCAUUAGAACCAUUGAUAAUAGUACUUGUAAGUUGUAACAGAGCAUGUUUGUUGUUUUGUGUAA
Long non-coding RNA from Triticum dicoccoides, 436 nucleotides. RefSeq lists it as uncharacterized. Lineage: Eukaryota; Viridiplantae; Streptophyta; Magnoliopsida; Poales; Poaceae. The record is from RefSeq and is a predicted model, not a curated record. The transcript is spliced from 2 exons.